Molecule: long non-coding RNA, 449 nt
Filed under: Malus domestica (apple)
Lineage: Eukaryota; Viridiplantae; Streptophyta; Magnoliopsida; Rosales; Rosaceae
Description: long non-coding RNA (MDOM_LNC015736)
Source: RNAcentral
GCAUCGACUAGGGAAACAAAUCCUAUAUUUCAUCAAGACAAUCCAACGAAAGUUUUCUAGUUCUUUCACCCGCUUAUCUACUGCUCUUGUCUAAUUUGGAUUGGGAACCCAUGAGAUGAGACAUAAGAGAUUUCGAAUUUCAUUCCUCUGUUGUAAACUCUCUUUCUAUAUUGGAGGAAAUUUUUUUAGCAAGCUCCUAAGAGCAUCUCCAAAGGAGCGAUUUGUGCAAUUGUGCUUAAUUGUUUACCGCUUAGUACUAUGGUCUAGUAGUAUUCCUCUUUACUUGUAAGUGCGAAGUAUUAUGUUUAAUUUCACCACCACAUUAUUGCUAGCCCAUUGUGAGAUUAAGCCCACCCUUUCCCCUUAGAGCAGCUCCAGUGGGAGCUCUUACUCGAGGGACAGGCUCCGGAACAGGGCUUGAUUGCCCGAGGGAGGAAGUCCAGCGUUGG